Non-coding RNA from Gossypium hirsutum (cotton), 107 nucleotides. The record is from Rfam. Lineage: Eukaryota; Viridiplantae; Streptophyta; Magnoliopsida; Malvales; Malvaceae.
AAUCCAUGCAUCGGACAUUGUCGAAGUAAUUCUUUAAAUCGUUCCUAAGCUUCAUAUAAUGUUUCAUCCUAUGAUUGCCAAAAAGAUGUUAUGUCAUUUCUAAACUU